RNAcentral lists this unclassified non-coding RNA (238 nucleotides) under uncultured bacterium. RNAcentral describes it as "16S-23S ribosomal RNA intergenic spacer". The record is from RNAcentral.
CUAAGGAUUAUAUGGAGCAUCUACUUGUUAGAUGGCAUUCGGAAAAGCGUUUUGACAUAUUGUAUUCAGUUUUGAAUGUUUCUUUACUUUGUAAAGUGAUAUUCAGCAACAUUUAUGUACAUUGAAAACCGUAUAGAAGUAAAGAGAAGAGUAAAACGAUUUCAAAUCGAGCAAGAACAAGAAUUGAAAACGAGAACGCAAACGUAUCUAUAAGAUACACUCACACAAAUUUCAUUAC